Harpia harpyja (harpy eagle) is the source of this 313-nucleotide long non-coding RNA. RefSeq lists it as uncharacterized. The record is from RefSeq and is a predicted model, not a curated record. Lineage: Eukaryota; Metazoa; Chordata; Aves; Accipitriformes; Accipitridae. The transcript is spliced from 3 exons.
CACAGGAAACACAAUACUGCAACAUCUGCAACUGCUCUGCCCUGCUGGGAUUGAACUCUAAUCUUCUAUAUAAUGGAGAUGAAUAUCCCUUAAAGAUGCAAAUGUAGGACAGAAAACAGUUUUCAAGUACAAUGAUGGGAAACAGAUCAGAACUUGGAGCCUAAACAAGAUCUCACAGCCUCUACAACAAAUCUCUGCAUCUGAAAGUGAAGAGGGAAUUAAUUCUGUGUGAAACUGCUAUGUGGUCCUUAAAGGACAUUCUCUGUUUUAUGGAUUGAUCCUGCUGCUGGGCAACUCGAAGAAAAAAAUUCAG